GUGCCUACGGGACGCAGCAGUGGGGAAUAUUGGACAAUGGGGGAAACCCUGAUCCAGCGACGCCGCGUGAGUGAAGAAGUAUUUCGGUACGUAAAGCUCUAUCAGCAGGAAAGAAAAUGACGGUACCUGACUAAGAAGCCCCGGCUAACUACGUGCCAGCAGCCGCGGUAAUACGUAGGGAGCGAGCGUUAUCCGGAUUUAUUGGGUGUAAAGGGUGCGUAGACGGGAAAAUAAGUUAGUUGUGAAAUCCCUCGGCUCUACUGAGGAACUGCAACUAAAACUCUUUUUCUUGAGUGCAGGAGAGG
RNAcentral lists this ribosomal RNA (305 nucleotides) under uncultured bacterium. RNAcentral's name for it is "bacterial SSU rRNA". It matches the Rfam family "Bacterial small subunit ribosomal RNA", at positions 335 to 657 of the family's 1533-position model. The record is from RNAcentral.